UUGCAGAGAAGGUUUGAGGGGGUUCACUUUGGUUCUUUCGUCACCGUUGAGUGAGUGCAGCGAGCUUUGCGGCCUAGAGCGCAUGUGCGAGGAGCCUGGCGUUCAACGGAAGCAGCCACGUUGCGAGGGCACGAAUCCGCAUGCUCCCUCAGAUUGAGCUUGGGUUUCUCCCGCGGGAGAGUGGAAGCUCCUGGGGUAGGAGAGCCCCGGCCCGAAUUAGGCAGCCCGGGACGCUCUCUCCCUCUGUCCGCGCCAUGUCGGCUGCACGCCGCCCGGGCCUCUUGACCAUUUUGGGGGCGAGAGUGAGGUCAGCAGGGGCGUGGUAGUGGAUUCGUCAGGAGGAUUUCCAGUCCAGUGCUGGCCACGGGCUCUCAGAUCUUUAGGAAACCGCUGCUGGGUUUUUUUGCCCUCCCGUUUGUGGGAAGCUGGCUUGUUUGUGCAAGUGAAACAGGCUCUGAUGGAAAGGGCCCAGUGUGCGCGUUUUCCUGUAGAACGGGAAGAAAACAUAAGGCUACCAAGGAACCAGCGAGUCUCCAAGUGAAUUACAGGGUUGUUUCUGCGAACCAGGUGUCUCUAAUAGCCGUUUGCCGUCUCCCCAUCGAGCCGAUCUUCUUGAAGCUGAAAGUUCCCACCUGUGCAACUGCGGCUUCUGAAGCAGCACUCCCGAGGGGCCUUGCCUCUGGGCCGGCGUGACCGGGACUGAGCAAGCACUAGCAUCCACCCAAGCCAGCUGGGGAGAGCUCACCAUCACCCCUAUCCUGCUGGUGUGCAGUCGGGCCAGACCCUGUCCUUGAAUCGAGAGCUGGGGCUGCCGAAGGCCUGGCCCUGGUGCCAGGAGUCCGACCCUCCGCAGAUACGUCCAGUGCACUGUCCUGCUCUUCUGGCCCUUGACCUGGGGGGUGGGUGGGCAGCAUCUUCCAUGUCUGCCUUGAGCUGCCCUCACCCUGCCUUGCAGCAACGACCACCUGCUAUUGAAGGAAGUGACCUGUGAGUGACCAGGCCCACCCACAAGGACCUCUUAGACUGGGUGCUGUCUCACACCCGCCCCAGGAGAGGGUGGAUGAGCAGCUCGAAGACCUUGUAGGGCUGCACCUGGAAGAGGCCUUUCCUGUGUGUCCACCCCUGGAGCCCCACUGCCCCACUAGGGUGUGCUGUCUGCUGCAUUCAGCCCUGCCACAGGGCUGAGCUAUAGACCCCUCUGGUCCCCAAGGUGAAAGCAUCUUAAGUUCUCACUUUUAAAAGUUUUUUAAUGCGUGUUCUUAAUCCUUGUCCUGAUGGACACCAGCCUCAGCAGGCUCAUCUACCUCUUUAACAGCUUGCCUCUCACAGCCCUA
Cavia porcellus (domestic guinea pig) is the source of this 1334-nucleotide long non-coding RNA. RefSeq lists it as uncharacterized. The record is from RefSeq and is a predicted model, not a curated record. The transcript is spliced from 4 exons. NCBI's taxonomy places the organism in Eukaryota, Metazoa, Chordata, Mammalia, Rodentia, Caviidae.